UUUUACUGCUAGGAUCAAACUGUUGAAUAUUUAUAAUGACGAUGGACAAUCAAAAAAGUUCAGCAUUAAAGGAUGAACUGUUAUGAACGAGAAGACGUGAAGUUGCAUUUAAUUAUUAUUAUUAUUACUAUUACUAUUAUUAUUAUUAUUAUUAUUAUUAUUAUUAUUAUUAUUAUUAUUAUUAUUAAUAUUAUUUUUAAUAAUUAGUUUUAGGUAGAUAUCGAUAAUUUUUCUUUUUCGUAUGCGAUAAUAUUUCCUUAUCAGUAAUAAUUAUAAGUAUGUGUGAUUUAUCGCAUUUAAUUAGCUAAUGAUGUUAUAAACGAUAUAUUACAGGAAGAACGAUAAAGAAAAUGAAUGCGUGUAAAUAUGAUAUUUUUAAAAUGAUUAUCAAGGACUUCUUAUACGUUACGAUGCGUCCUAAUUAAUUUAUUUUUUAUAUCCGUCACGUUGAACGGUACAAUAUUUUUCCUUUUUUUUUUUCGAACAUUUUAUUCGCAGUAUGUAGAUAUAUUUGUAUAUUUUAUUUUUUUUUUUACGAACGUUAUAUUUAUCCGAUAAUAAUAAUAUUUAAAAAAAAAAAACAAAAACAAAAAAAAAACAAAAAGAACUCGACUUAGAUUCGAUUCCACGUAAACACUUUAAAUGUUUUUAUUUACAUGAGAAAAAAAGAAAUUUACUUCGACCCAAAGAGAACGUGCACGACGAUCAUAGCUAUGAAUUCCUCCGUUCAUGUUGGCUUCUAACACUCCACGCACCGGUCAUAAAAGAGGAAAUUUUUCGCGAUUUAAAAAAAAAAAAAAAAACACAAAAAAAGAAAAAAGAGAAAAAAGGAAGGAGAAAAGUCGAAAGAAAAAUAAUAAUUCAACUGAAGUAAGGAAAAGAGGACAAAAGAAGAAAAGAAAAAAUAACGUGAAGAGUGAGCGAACAAAGCAAAGAGUAAUUUCGUGCUAAUAUAGACAUCAUUAUAUUUUUCCUGAUUACAAUAAUCUAUGUACAGAAAUAAUGACUAUUUCAUAGAUAAAAAAUUGAUUGAAAAAAAAUGUAUAUAUAUAUAUAUAUAUAUAAAAUUAAUUUAAUACAAUGCACUAUCAAGCAUUGUCCAAAUUGAUUAUAGUAAUGUUCAAAAUUUAAAGAACAUUAACGCAAUGAUAGUUAAGAGGAUAGAUAAAGAUAGUAUGAAAGUAUUUAAGAAAUUUAAAGAAAUGAAAAAUUUAUUAUAGAACGCCAAAGAAUUUGUAUAAUUGUUAAAAUUAAAAAUAAAACUGUAAGUGAUAUUUUUACAAGAGAGACACACACAUAUAUAUAUAUAUCCAAUAUCAAUCGAUUCCAUUCCGAUCCAUCACAUCUUGGAUCACUUUGUAAGCCAAAAUCGCUGCAACGAAAUUUCUAUAAAUUAUAAAGAGAAAGAGAUAGAGAACGUAUGUACAUACAUACGUAAAACCAAGUUCGAUAUUAAAGACAUGGCUAAUAUAGGCGACAUAGUGAAAUCGUAUAACUUUAUACGUAAUAACGAUCAUAUUUCGCAGCUACGUAAAACGAACGAAACGUCGUGUACAGGAAUGAAAAGAUGGAAUGAGAAGAUGGAAGAUGUGGUAUAUCGUUCAGUUUUAUUAUUGAACCAAUAAAACCUUAGUAAACGAGUAAUAAUUUCAAAGUUGAGCGCCAUUCAGUUUCAAAAGCACCUUCGGCGACUCUGAGAAAAGCUUCUCACACGAAACAUCUAAUUCAACGUCGCCAUCGUGCCAAUAAGUUUGAGACUACCAAAAUCCUUUUUGAAUAUGAAUUGGAUUUAUAGUUACAGAUAUAGAUUUGGAAUAUUUUUAAAAUUCGACUAUACUUGUCUCAUUGAAAAAUUAUGUGAAUUAAUAUUUCACAAUUGCAAUCUGAGCAUUGCAUGAAUAUUUUUUCGUGAAUAUAUUUUCUUUUUUCUUUUUUUCUUCUUUUGUAAUUGGAUUUUUUUAAAUCUAUUGAUUAUUAUUCCCGAGGCUUGAAAGAAUAUAUAGUAUUUUUUUUUUUUUUUUUUGGAGUCAAAUUUAUUCAUUCUAUAAAUGAGAGCCGUUCAAAGUGCCUGUAUGGUAUAUCGCAACUCAAAGUGGACAACUUGAAAUUAUUUUGAGAUGUGCACACACAGCUAGGAUUAAAUUCGAUUUUAAAUUUGAUGUAAUCGAAAUGAUCGUAUAAACUAUAUUAAAUGUAAAUCGUGUUGUUCUCUAUGAUAUGAAAUGUAAUAGAUACAAGAAAAUGGUUAGCUAACCAAUGACAGUGGCAUAUCCAUGAAAGACCGAACGAAUUCACCAACGGAUAUUCGAUCGGACAUUGACGCUAACGAGAUUUUCUCUCGUCGACUUCGAGAGAAAAAAAAAGGAAGAAGAAGAAGAAGAAAAUAGUAGAAAAAAAAGAAGGACAAAAGAAAAGAAAAGAUCAAAAAUGUAUGAAAAUGAUCAAUUGAUGAUGGUAUGACAAUACGUUUGUCCAAGAUACGAGAGAUAUGUGCUCGAAUUUAAUGGACGAAACGUUGCCAUUUCUUCGUACACGUAGAACUCUUGAUAGAAACUGGACGAUAAGACGUUGGGACAGCUUAAAAUCGAGAACGCGAGACGAAAUAAGAACGAUUUUUACGACGGCAUUUCUACGAUGGGAAAAUCGUUCGGGCAGACGUUGAAGAGUAGUGCGGCGGACAUUGGAGAAAACGAAAUCGACGUGCCGAUGCUUUCCCAACCGACGACGUCGAGACGGCUUCACCGGGAACUACCUUACAUAGAUACUGAUUUAUCCUUGACGUGAUUAACGUGAAUAAACGUUUCUAACUUUGCUUCUAAUCGCUCUCCAUCAGUUAUCAAUCUGUUUUGUCAAAUAUAUACAUAUAUAUAUAUAUAUAUAUAUAUAUAUAUAUAUAUAUAUAUAUAUAGUGUUAAUGUUAUAACAAAUCACACAGCAUUCUACAUAGCCAUCCCUCUUUCCCCUUGGUAAGCGUAUUAACGUAAGGAGCUUAUUCCAUCGCUGAUCAACUCCGACGACUCUGUACGUCACGAUCAAUUCGAAGGGCUUGUUAACGAUUUCAAAUGCACGAUAAACGUUUAUCCGAAGAUAAAAGGAAGGAAGGAAGGAAGGGGAGGGGAGAAUAUACGCAAAUGUCUGAAAUGAUAGAGAAUUAGUAACAAGAAAGAGACAGACAGACAGAAUGAUGAGGAGAGAGAGAGAAAGGAUAUGUAUACAUAAAAAAAAAAAAAAAAAAAAAAAAAUAAAUAAAAAUGAAGAAAAAGAAAUGAAGAAAAAUAGAAGAUAAAUUAUGAAGAAUUUCUAUUGGAAUCAAAUUCAACGUUAUUUCCGGCUAACUUCUGUUUAACGAAGAAAGGAUAGGAGAGAAAGUAAAAUACAAAGAGAGAGAAAGAGAGACGGAGAGAGAGAGAGAGUUUUCAUUAGAGAACAUGAAAGGCUACCAUUUUAAGAGCAAACGAAUGAGAAUAAUUAACAAUGAGAUGAGAAGAUACUCCAAAGAAAUAUUCUCUACUUCUCUUACUAUUUUCCUUUUUUUUUCUCUUUCUUUUUCUUUUCUUUUUUUCUUUUGUUUUAUCUUUUCUUUCUUUUUCUCCUUUCUUUUUUCCUCUCUACGAAAAAAAAAGUUUCGCAAAUUAGUGCACCCUAAGUUUAUAAUGAACUGUACUCUUUUCAAUACUUUUUCAGAUCUUUAUUAAUCAUUUAAGAAAAAAGAAAAAAAAAAAAAAGAAAAAAGAAAAAACUAAUAAGCAAAAAGUCAAUCGACAAAGUGUAUAUCAAUUUGGAAUAAAUCGAAGAACAUCGAUCGAAAGGAAAAUUCUAGUAAUUCUGCUUUUAUCUGUUAUGAAAAGGAUUUGUUAUUAGACGUAAGAACGAAAGUAUAAUAAUAAUGAAAAGAAAAAAAUAAGAGAAGAAUAAAUCCAGAGUCCAUUUCCGAUAAGGGUCCUUCUGCAUUUCUUCAACAUUGUACGUUCACGUUACUCUUACUCUACGAAACUAUCCAUCGUUUUUGACAACAUAUGUGAAUCUCUAUAUUUCUCGCUCUCUCUCUCUCUCUCUCUCUCUGUCUCUCUUUUAUAUUCUCUUGAAGAACGAGAUAUACAGAUGCCGUCUCAACUCAACCUAUCGUUUCAAAUAUAGAUUUCCAAUGCACCAAGAUAUUUUCAAUAUCGUUGUCGCGUCUCGAUACCCUUUCCAAUGAACUUGUCCAUCGUACUCUUAUUCCCACUCUUUAUCUCUCUCUCUCUCUCUCUCUCUCUCUCUCUUUCUUCCAAACUGUAUAAAAAUGUUACAUUCGAUUGUCAAAAAUACAUAUCGAUGUGUCCACUUAUAUUUUCAUCGUCAUUACUCUCUCGUCCACUAAUAUAUAUAUAUAUCAUCAAAUAGAUACAAAUAAAAAUAAUUUAUGAGCGUCAAUUGAAAUCAAUCUUAUUGGAAAAUUUGCGAACUUUAAUAAAGAGAAAAAAGAGGGGAAAAAUAAUAUAAAGAAUGAAAGAAAAUGAAUCGAAAUUUAUGAACUUACGAUGCUAUAAUCACGACGAGAUAUAAUAAAAUAAAAUAAAAAAAAAAAAAAAAAAAAAAAAAAAGAAAGCAGUUCUCCUUUAGAUCUCAUUCGAAAACUAUAAAGAGAAUGAGAAGAGAAAUGGAAGAAAAAUUCUUAGAGGACUAUAACAAACGAGGGAACCGACUCAAUCAGAAGAUCGCAAAGGAGAUCGAAUUCGGGUAGAAGGAUAGAGACAAAAAGAUAGAGAUAGAAAUAGAGAACAUCGAAGUAGAAGAUAGAAUUAACGUUUCUCCUACGGCUGCAACUGUGACUGACUGUGUGGAAAACGAGCGUUCAAAGUGAACUACAGAUUAGAAAGUGGAAGAAGGAAGGAAGAAUGAAACAGGUAAAAGGGAAGAGAAGGAUAGUAACAUAAAGAACGAAAAAGGUAUAUAGUUCGUCUCGUACUAUCUCUCUCUCUCUCUCUCUCUCUCUCUCUCUCUCUCUCUCUCUCUUUCUGUCUCUCAUGCUCUUCUCUAUUUUUCUCACUUUUCGAGUGCUUUACGACGUCUCUUGGAUAAGUACGUGCCGUCCCAUCUUCCUCGAGUUCUAAGAAAGAAAAGGAAGAAAGGAAGAAAAAAAAGAAAGAAAAAAAAAAGGAGAAAAAGGAACGAAAAAAGAAAGGGGAAAAAAAAUAGAAAGGAUAUAUCGUAAAUAGAGGAAAAGAACGAACUGAGGUUAGGUUAUGGAAGAGGUUUGGUGUCCUCGACCGGUUCGUCGGUUCAAUCAACCGUACGCCGAGCAACAAACCACCGCCGUUAAUUGGAUCCGUGCCCGUGCUUCCCGGCUUUACGAGGGCCAAUCGUGCCGAAUUAUCCGACCUGCAUUUCCGGAUCUCCUGUAGCAGCAUCAACGCCGGUAGAAGUACUCUAUCCCCCUUCUAUCUUACCCAGAACUUCCUUUUCCUUUUCUCUUCUCUUCUCUUCUCUUCUCUUCUCUUCUCUUCUCUUCUCUCCUCUCUCGAACACUCGAAAGUUAAAGUGCCAAUCGGAGCCAACUUCUUCGAGGAGGCUCGAGAGCUUAAUGCGUCUUUAAGUCGAUGCACAGACUGGAUAAGUCCGAUACUCGAGUAUCUUACUUCGGAUACUUUAAAUUCAAGAAAGAUCAAGUGGGAUGCUGCGUUUCUAGCUUCGAUCGAGAUAUCGGUUCAUUUCCUAUGCAUCGAUUCCUUUAUUAUCUAUCUAUCUCUACGUACACCUUAGAAAUCAUCUAUGAUGUUUCUUCUUUCUUUUCUUUUCUUUUCUUUUCUUUUUUUUUUCUCUUUUUAUCAUUAAACGAAUUGAUUCUCUUUCCUUUCAAAUUCUUUUCCCACCAAAAUCUUUUUACAUUUCGUUUCAUUCUAUCUUCAUAUAGAAUUUAAUUGAGGGUAUUUGAGUUAAGCCCUACCCACUCCUUUACUUCCACCCUCCUUACUCCCGACUGGCGGCCAUUCGAUUUACGAUUCUCAUUUUCGCAAAAGGUAUGGAGAAGGUAUUCUAUCUUUACGAGCAAACAUAUGGGAUACUAUCAUAAGAAACCAUCCUCGAGGCAUGAUAUAAACGUGAAAUGUAAAACAUAUAUGCAAUGGUGAAAAGCGCGUGCAUGGUUACUACGCAAUAACAUUAUUCUAGGGAACACUUAAGUUCGCAAUAAUGGAAGAGCUGUGUGUCUAUGACGAUAUUAUAGUAGCCACAAUAAAGACCAAAAUCAUUUCUAACAUAUUCUAAAGUAAAUGUUUUACAUAAGAAA
This is a long non-coding RNA of Vespa crabro (European hornet), 6268 nucleotides long. RefSeq lists it as uncharacterized. Lineage: Eukaryota; Metazoa; Arthropoda; Insecta; Hymenoptera; Vespidae. The transcript has 4 exons. The record is from RefSeq and is a predicted model, not a curated record.